This 305-nucleotide ribosomal RNA is filed under the name uncultured bacterium. RNAcentral describes it as "bacterial SSU rRNA". It matches the Rfam family "Bacterial small subunit ribosomal RNA", at positions 28 to 334 of the family's 1533-position model. The record is from RNAcentral.
GACGAACGCUGGCGGCGUGCCUAACACAUGCAAGUCGAACGGAGUGAUGAUUUCGGUUAUCACUUAGUGGCGAACGGGUGAGUAACGCGUGAGAAACCUGCCUUUCAGUGGGGGACAACAGUUGGAAACGACUGCUAAUACCGCAUAAUGUCAUUUGGGGGCAUCCCUGGAUGACCAAAGAUUUAUUGCUGAAAGAUGGUCUCGCGUCUGAUUAGCUAGUUGGUGAGGUAACGGCUCACCAAGGCGACGAUCAGUAGCCGGUCUGAGAGGAUGAACGGCCACAUUGGGACUGAGAUACGGCCCAG